This 509-nucleotide ribosomal RNA is filed under the name uncultured bacterium. Its description in RNAcentral is "partial 16S ribosomal RNA". The record is from RNAcentral.
GGAGUUAGCCGGUGCUUCUUCUGUGAGUGAUGUCCUUCCUGCCGGCUAUUAACCCGCAGGCCUUCUUCCUCACUGAAAGUGCUUUACAACCCGAAGGCCUUCUUCACACACGCGGCAUGGCUGGAUCAGGGUUGCCCCCAUUGUCCAAUAUUCCCCACUGCUGCCUCCCGUAGGAGUCUGGGCCGUGUCUCAGUCCCAGUGUGGCUGAUCAUCCCUCUCAGACCAGCUACGGAUCGUCGCCUUGGUGAGCCGUUACCUCACCAACCAGCUAAUCCGACAUAGGCUCAUCCGAUAGCGCGAGGCCCGAAGGUCCCCCGCUUUCCCCCGUAGGGCCGUAUGCGGUAUUAGCCUGGGUUUCCCCAGGUUAUCCCCCACUACCGGGCAGAUUCCUAUGCAUUACUCACCCGUCCGCCGCUCGCCACCAGGGAGCAAGCUCCCCGUGCUGCCGCUCGACUUGCAUGUGUUAGGCCUGCCGCCAGCGUUCAAUCUGAGCCAGAAUCGAACCCUGA